CCUACGGGAGGCAGCAGUGAGGAAUAUUGGUCAAUGGACGCAAGUCUGAACCAGCCAUGCCGCGUGCAGGAAGACGGCUCUAUGAGUUGUAAACCUCUUUUGUCGGAGAACAAAACCCGGUACGUGUCCCGGACUGCGUGUAUCCUAAGAAAAAGCAUCGGCUAACUCCGUGCCAGCAGCCGCGGUAAUAGGGGGGAUGCGAGCGGUAUCCGGUUUUGUUUGGUUUAAAGGGUGCGUAGGGGGUCCGUUAUGUCAGCGGUAAAAUUUCGGGGCUAAACCCCGUCGAGCCGUUGAAACUGGCAGACUUGAGUUGGGGAGAAGUACGCGGAAUGCGCGGUGUAGCGGUGAAAUGCAUAGAUAUCGCGAAGAACUCC
This 374-nucleotide ribosomal RNA is filed under the name uncultured bacterium. RNAcentral describes it as "partial 16S ribosomal RNA". It matches the Rfam family "Bacterial small subunit ribosomal RNA", at positions 338 to 710 of the family's 1533-position model. The record is from RNAcentral.